Molecule: ribosomal RNA, 433 nt
Filed under: uncultured bacterium
Lineage: Bacteria
Description: partial 16S ribosomal RNA
Rfam family: Bacterial small subunit ribosomal RNA
Source: RNAcentral
AGCGAACGCUGGCGGCAGGCCUAACACAUGCAAGUCGAACGAACUCUUCGGAGUUAGUGGCGGACGGGUGAGUAACACGUGGGAACGUGCCUUUUGGUUCGGAAUAACUCAGGGAAACUUGUGCUAAUACCGAAUGUGCCCUUCGGGGGAAAGAUUUAUCGCCAUUAGAGCGGCCCGCGUCUGAUUAGCUAGUUGGUGAGGUAACGGCUCACCAAGGCGACGAUCAGUAGCUGGUCUGAGAGGAUGACCAGCCACACUGGGACUGAGACACGGCCCAGACUCCUACGGGAGGCAGCAGUGGGGAAUCUUGCGCAAUGGGCGAAAGCCUGACGCAGCCAUGCCGCGUGAAUGAUGAAGGUCUUAGGAUUGUAAAAUUAUUUCACCGGGGACGAUAAUGACGGUACCAGGAGAAGAAGCCCCGGCUAACUUCGUG